RNAcentral lists this long non-coding RNA (20217 nucleotides) under Micromonas pusilla. Its description in RNAcentral is "long non-coding RNA (MPUS_LNC000103)". The record is from RNAcentral. Lineage: Eukaryota; Viridiplantae; Chlorophyta; Mamiellophyceae; Mamiellales; Mamiellaceae.
CGUUUCGCGGUGGCCCGGCGCGAGGUUCGCGAGCUGCGUCAUGACGCGCCGCGGCCGCCGCGCGUCGUCGUUGUGCGAUGGAGAGGGGGGGGAACGCAUUCUUUUGCCACUCAGGCGGGCCAUUCCAUACAAAAAAAGUUCACCGGUCAGUUGAAAGGGGGAGCGAUCAAAUGUUGAAACCAGGCGAUGGGUGAAAAACUUUUGUAGACCCCACGUCAACGACGAGCUCCGACACGCGCGUUGCCAAACUUGGCUCGAGACGAGAGAACCGAAUCCACCCAGCCGCCGUUGCGCGCGCUCACGCGUGAUGGUGUUCGCCCUGAUCACGCGCUCGCGUGGUGCCUCAGGUCACUGUCGACGAGAUUCGGCGCCUCGCCCGCUCGCGCGAAGCGACGCCCGUCGCGCGAUCACGCCAGUUGUCGAUCGGUCCUCGUCGAGAACGACGCGGGGACCGAUCCGUCCCCUCCGCGGCGGUCCUCGGAAGCGACGACGACGAGCGACGCGGUCCACGUCAGGUUUAGGGUCCGUUGUAGGGGGCGGAGACGGAAUGGGCCAGGAACGUGAAAGAUUACAUAAUCUUUCAGUACGAGUAGUUUGUACGCGGACACACUAGAGUACAUACAGGUUUUCGGAGAAAAAAGCGGAAGGAGAUCCGACUCGCAUUCGUAUGGGCAUUUCAGUCAGAGAGGAGCCUUCCGGAGAUGUAAUUUUUCCGAAGACCGCGCGGCGCAGACUGAAAUACCCAUACGAUUCUCGUCGAGAAGCUCGUUCCGUCAAGCCCAUUUCAGACUACCUCGCGCACUUCGAGCGCCGACGAUGUCUUUUUCUUGACAGUAAGUGGUGUUAUAUUAUUGCACGAACGGCGUCAUCAUGGUAUUGGGAACACUUUCUCUCACUAUCGCGAUGUCAUUUGCGACGGUCCUGCGCCGCCCUUGUCGUAUUCAGCGCGCGGGCCCUUCGCGUCAAAAUAUCGCCCGAUUUUUUUUUUUUGCAGUGUCAUGUCCGCGUGUUUGCGCGACCAUGGCGUCGCUGUAUGGACGUAAACGGCAUGGUUGAAGUGAGAAGAAUCGUUUAUCAUGACAUGAUGCGUCGAUUUCGACUAGAAUAUGACAUCGGUUACGAUGAAGAAUGCGAUGUUGCUGGCGCUUCCGUAGCGAAGGCCAGAGUUUCUAUUGUGUGCUCUGGCGAAAUUUCGCAGGUGAAAUUUUUUUUGGUUCUCGAGAUGUAUUUUUUGCACCGUUCUAAAAGGCGCGUGUUUGCGCGGUCAUGGCGUCCCCGGAAGACCCCGGAUUGGAACGUCAUGCUGAGAAGAGUUGCUCUACAUAUCGUCGAACGUCGUAAGCUGUAAGAAUAUGAUGUCAUUUACUGCGGAGAAAUCAGCGGAAAUGGCGCUGGAAAGGGGGUGGUUUCACUUUUAGCGAAAAAAAAGCAGCUUCAGGUAAAAAUUACACCUCCGGAAGGCUCCUCUCUGACUGAAAUGCCCAUACGAAUGCGAGUCGGAUCUCCUUCCGCGUUUUUCUCCGAAAACCUGACUAAAUAUCAUACGUCCACGUACUCGUACUCGUACUGAAAGAUUAUGUAAUCUUUGAAAGAUUAUGUAAUCUUUCACGUUCCUGGCCCAUUCCGUCUCCGCCGUUGUAGGGUACCCUACCGUUUCUCGGAGAGGCCGAACGCGAUGCCGCUGAGUCGCCGCGCCGCGCCACCAACGCCGCCAGAUCGCCAUCGCGCCGUCCGAUCGUCCUCCCUCGCUGAAGUGCGACGGCGAGACGCGCACGCGGCCACUGCGUUGAAGGAGGCGGUGGCCGAGCAGGGCGACGUCGUUCCCGAUCGCCCAGGCUUGUCGUCGCCUGCGCCUCCUGCGACUACGCUCCACGGCGCCUGGUCGGACGUCCGGGCGGACGCGGCGACACCGGCAGACGCCGCGACGACCGACGCCGCGAGCGACGAUGCGCGCGCGCGCGGCGGCGACGGCGACGGCGACGGANNNNNNNNNNNNNNNNNNNNNNNNNNNNNNNNNNNNNNNNNNNNNNNNNNNNNNNNNNNNNNNNNNNNNNNNNNNNNNNNNNNNNNNNNNNNNNNNNNNNNNNNNNNNNNNNNNNNNNNNNNNNNNNNNNNNNNNNNNNNNNNNNNNNNNNNNNNNNNNNNNNNNNNNNNNNNNNNNNNNNNNNNNNNNNNNNNNNNNNNNNNNNNNNNNNNNNNNNNNNNNNNNNNNNNNNNNNNNNNNNNNNNNNNNNNNNNNNNNNNNNNNNNNNNNNNNNNNNNNNNNNNNNNNNNNNNNNNNNNNNNNNNNNNNNNNNNNNNNNNNNNNNNNNNNNNNNNNNNNNNNNNNNNNNNNNNNNNNNNNNNNNNNNNNNNNNNNNNNNNNNNNNNNNNNNNNNNNNNNNNNNNNNNNNNNNNNNNNNNNNNNNNNNNNNNNNNNNNNNNNNNNNNNNNNNNNNNNNNNNNNNNNNNNNNNNNNNNNNNNNNNNNCUCUGGGUUGGCCCCCCCCCCCCCCUUUUCACCGCGUCCGUCGCCGCCAACACCCCUCCCGCGGCAGCUCUCGUCGUCGUCAUCUCUCGCUCUGCCCCCCCCCCUCUUCACCGCGUCCGUCGCCGCCAACAAACGACGUCCCAGUGCACUCACCCUUUGACCGUCCCCCACCCUCGCUUUUCAAUCACCCGCAAAGCCAUCUGUUGACGCAGACCGACCGUCUUGUACCUCAAGUCUUUGUUGUAGUGGAUGUAGAAGAACUCAAUCACCAACGCCAUUGGCACGUUCUUGUCCCGAAGGAUCGUCUCGAGCAUCGCCACGACCCCUUCCGCCCCAUCGUGCUCGGCGUUCACCGCGACCUUCGCGCGUAAUCCCAAAUGCGCGUUCUCCUCUGACCCGAGCACGGCGUCGAACGAGGCGAGCACCCGCUCGAUGUCCUCCUUCGUGAUCGAUCCGCAUCUCUUGUCGCACGCGAAGGACACGGUGACCGUCUGGUUGAUGCCGGUGAUGUUGCACCUCAGCGUGCCCCUGCCCGCGUAGUUGAACAGAAGGUGCACUUCGCCCGCGUCGCGCAUGACGAUGAACCGCUGCUGUACCGCUUUUUCCAGUCUCAGGCACGUCUCGCCGCGAGCGCGAAAGUUGAAGUCAAACGUCGCGAGGUGGACGCCACUGGGGAGAAGACCGCGCUCGGCGAGAAGCUCUCGAACGUUUUCCCGAUGCAGAAGAUUACACCCCUCGUCCGACGCUCGAUGAAGCGCCGUGGCUUGAAUACCGACCGAGGCGACCUUCCCCACCUUGGACAUCUCCUCCAUCCCCGCGAGCGCUGCCUUGACCCACGCCUCCGCGGCGAAUGAGAUGUCGGCGUCGGAGCGCUUCGGCUCGAUCUCGCCGCCGCGAGCGAUCGUCACUUUGUCCAAGGUCUCGCCCUCCUUGGUCGUGAUCGUCACCUCUUCGGCGUGCUUCGCGCGUCUCGCUUCGUUAUGGCGCUCGUAGCCGGUCUUCCCAUCCGCGCCCACCGCGCCGCCCACCGCGCGUCUCGCUUCGUUACCGCGUUCGUUCUCGGUCUUCCCAUCCGCGCCCACCACCGUGCGUCUCGCUUCGACACGGCGUUCGUUGCCGGUCUUCCCAUCCGCGCCCACCGCGCGUCUCGCUUCGUUAGCGCGUUCGUUCUCGGUCUUCCCAUCCGCGCCCACCACCGUGCGUCUCGCUUCGGCACGGCGUUCGUUGCCGGUCUUCCCAUCCGCGCCCACCGCGCGACGUUUUAGGUUUUGUCGCCCGGCGUGCACUUUGCGCCUCUCAUCCGAGGAAUCAACAUCAAUGUUUAAUUUCUCAUAGGCUCGAGUCUGCUUGAGAUACUGAGGGAUGUCUUGGAGUUUCUUCCCAUGCGUAUUAAGCCACGCACGAACCUGUUCCGCGUUUCGAGUGCCGACAUGCUCCGCGAUGAACGUAUAGGCGCCGUACUUGGACUUGGACUUGAACUCGUUAGCCGCGGCGACAGCCCUCUGUUUCUCCUCCUCGCUCCACGACCCCUUGUUCAUUGCUUUCUGGACGGGCGCGUCGGCAUUCGUCUCAGCGGACGUCGUCGCAGAGGGGGGCGUCGUCACCGCGGACGUCGUCACCGCGUUCACAUUGUCGUCAUCGCACCGCUCCCGAACAGCAUCGAUCUUCUCCGGCGUCUCCAAGCGCGUGCCUCCGGCGUACUCGCCUCUGCCCUCGAUGAGAUACAGUUGAUCGCCUUCGACUGACACCACCGGCUUCUGGUCCAAUUCAUUGCGCACUAAUAACUCUUCAAAGGAGAUCUUUGGCGUCAUAGUUCGACGACUGCCGCGUACUUUCGUACAACACAGCUGUGUUUUUACAGAGAAGGAACGAAUUAGUCACCAUUCGAAUGGAGAAGCUGAGCGCCGCGCGGCGACGCGCGCCGCGCCGCGGGCACGGACCCGAACCGCGACGCACGCGAGCGACUCGAGAGGCGUCGGUACCGGCGCGCGCGCUCGCGGUGAAGGCGUGAAAGGUGCCCUCGCGCUCGAAUUUCGAGAGCGAGAGUGAGCACCUACCGUACUAGCGAGGAAAAGAAAAAACGUCGCACGACGCGCGCGAGAUCCGGCACGCGCGCGACCGCGGACAAGGCGACGAAGACGCGAACGCGAUGGGAGUUCAGCUUCGGGACGUACCGACACAGCAGAUGUGCACGAGCUCGUUCCGCGUGAUGUCCGCGUCGUUCUGUCGCGCGGCUCGAGCUGGGCCGCGAGGACAGUUCGCGCAGUUUUCGUAAGUCGUCCGGUACACGUGUACAGUACAGCAGCAGGCUGUACGGUGUCAUCAGGCAGCGGCAGCGGCAGCGGCGCCGCUUCCCGCGUCGUCAAGGCUCGAAUUCGCUCUUCCGCCCCGGGCGCGACGUCGUGGCGACGGUCGCCAUAUCAAUCGUCACCCACGACCGACCGUCGCGCUCGUACCCGCCGCGUGAUCGUGAUCACAUCGACGCGAUCGCGACAGCGCGAGAGUGACGAGCGCCGCGCGAGGGACCGAACCGAACCCGCGGGGACGCGCGCCCCCAGUUAGGGCGGGGAGGAAAACGAAUCCCACACACACCCGCUCGCGGAUCGCCCGGAUGCGCGCUCAUCACGUCACAUUCUCGCCGCGCGAUCGAGUGACGCGAUCACCCGCGCACAUCAGCGCGAGGUGAUGACCGCGACCGCGCGAGCGGGCUGCGCUGCUCGCUCGCGCAGUGAGACGCCUCCGCACGACGAGCCGAGGUUUUGUUCACACGAUGGCGAUGUCGAGGCGGGGUCAGGAUUCGUACUCGUGUACUUUUCGGGUGUAGUUUCGUAUGAAAACCAGUCAGGCCGAUGCUCGUACCGAGCUCGAUUUCGAUUUUCAAAUGCGGCGCGCGGCACACAAUUGGAGUCGACGUCGACGACGCUCCACGCGCGCCUCCACGCGCGCGCGCGCACGUCGUCGUCAUGUCGCGAGGACGAGGAAACACGCGGGAGAUGAACAUCGCGCGCGAGACCGUGAGCAAGGAGGAGAAGUGCGUGUUCGCGCGCGCGCGCCGUCGUCGUCGUCGUCGUUCUUCGAUCCCUCGCGGGGAAUGGAAUGGGAUGGAUCGAUCAUCUUCGAUUCGCGUCCGAUUCUCGCCCCCGACCCGCGAACCCGACCCACCUCACGUCGCCGCCCCUCCCGUCCCUCCCCCAAUCGCGCGCGUCGCCUCCGCGCGUCCAUGAUCCAGGAUCACGAAAAAGUCCGAGAAGGGGUACUUCGACCGCGAUAACAUCAAGUGGGUGGACUGGGAAUCAGAGCGGAAGCAGCUCGAGACGGUGACGGGCGCGGAUGCCGUCGCGCGGAGCGCCGCGGCGAAGCUGCACUUUCCGACGACGAAGUCGAGGGUGUUUUGCGUCGUGGACGACUCCUUCGACGCGUUCGCGACGGGGAAGUUGCCGCCGUAGGGAGGACGGGCGGGCGGGUGGUUGAACCUCGGGAGGGUCGUCGACGACAGAGGCGGAGACGUAGACGCAGAGCUUGUACGACAGCAGCAGCAACAAACAAAAAACAAAGAAACACUCUCGUCGCGUCGUCGUCGCCUCACUCGCAAUCCCCUCCUCCGCAGACGGACGCCGGCGGCGGCGCGGUCGUCGCGCGGUGACCCGCGGUCCCGAUGAACCCCGACCCCAACCGCGGGACCUGACCGAGCGCGAGCUGCUCGAUCGCGAGACGCGGCGACACUAAACCCGCGGGCGGCGCCGCCGAGCGCGCCGCCGUCGUCGCCGUCGCCGUCGCCGUCGGCCCCGGCCAUCGCAGCGCGUCGUAGUCGCGACCGACGACCGACGGCGUCGACGGUGGCGGCGGCGGUGGCGGCGGCGCGUCGCGUCGCUCGCGUCGCGUCAGAUCCACGACGAUCUCUUCCAACCUACCCAGUCGCGCGUCCGCGGCGCGUCGGUGGCGGCGAGCCUCGAUCUCGUCGCGGCUCGCGCGCUCCUCCACCUCUCGCCACCGCGACUCGUUGCGCUCGAGGAACGCGCCCCACGCGUCGCGAAGCUCGACAACCGCGGAGAACGCGACGGAUGCGUCGGCGUCGGCUCGGUUCGGCGGCGUUUGAGGCGGCGGCUCGACGCGCGCCUCCGCGUCGGCGCGCAGCGCGGCGACUUCCGCGCGCCACGUCCGCGUCUCUCUUAGCAUCGUCACCUCCUCGAGGACGGCGUCGCGGGUCGACUUGAUCCGCGUCUCGAGGUUCUCCUUGCUCGCCUUCGCCUUCGCCUUCGCCGCCGCCUUCGCCUUCGCCGCGGCCGCGGCGGCGGCUGCGGCGGCGGCGGCGGCGGGGGAGGCGGGACUCGAAGCGCCCUCCACGCCGUCCACCGCGUCCGCGAGCACCCACAGCGGGUCCGAGGCGCUGCUCGGGGCUGCCGCGCGCGUCGCGGGCGUCGCGACGACGACGCGCGGCGCCCUGGGCUUCUUCCGCGUCGUCGUCGUCGUCGUCUUCUUCGCUGCUUUCGGCGCGCGCGGGGGCUUCGCGGCGGCGCCGGGGUUGCCAGGGUUGCCAGGGUCGCGCUUCUUCUUCUUCGUCGGCGAGGGGCGCGUCGGUCGCUCCUCGCGAUCGUCGUCCUCGACGACGUCGUCGUCCGGGAGCGACGGCGCGGCGCGCUUGCGUCCGCUCCGGCGCGUCGCGCGCGCGCGCGCGGCGUCCGUCGCGGCGGCGGCGUCGUUCGCGUCCGAGCCCUCGCGCGCGUCGUCGUCGUCGUCGUCGUCGAGGUCGCCGCCGUCCUCCUCGACGUUGCAAACCUCCGCGGCCUCGCGCGUCGCCUCGCGUUGCGGCGGCGGCGGCAUUUGCGGCGGCGGAUCUUCUUCCUCCUCCUCUUCCCCGCGAUCGUCGCGCGUCGCGUCCGUCGCGGCGUCGGCGUCGGCGUCGGCGACGGCGUCGACGCGCGCGUCCUCGCUCGACGCGUCUUUUUCGUUUUCUUCGCGCUGCCGCUGCUGCUGCACGUCUUUUCGCUUCGCGCGCGCGUUGGGGACGGGGCGCGCGGACGCGAGCUGCUGCUUGACGCGCGCGGCGGCGUGCACCGCGGCGUCGCGACGGACGCGUUCGGACAUGGCGCGCGCUGGAUACGGUCGCGGCGGAGGCGCGCGCGGGGACUGACUCUCCGCGCGGGGGCGGCGCGCGGGGGCGGGCGAGUUCGUCGGUGGGUAUGGUGGUCGUGAGACGAACCGAACUGAACGCGAACAGAAUCUGUUCGUCGUCGUCGCGUUUCCCGCGUGAAACGAAAGUUGAAACCGCGGCCUCAUCACUCGCCGCGCCGCGCGGCCAUGACCUCGGUCGACCCGUACCCCGCCCCCGGCGGCGGCGGCUCCAUCAGCGACGCCGAGGUCGGCCCCGCGCCGCCCCCCUCCGUCGAACCGCUCUCCGCCCCGGCCGGGUACGACGGCGGCGACGACCCGUCCGUCUCGCUGCAGAUCGAGAUCACCGACCCGCAUCGCGCGGGCGAGGGCCUGUCGAAGCACGUGGAGUACGUCGUGACGUACUGGACGUCCGGCCUACCGAAGUUCGCGAGCGCGUCCGGGCGCGUCGCGAGGCGGUACUCCGAGUUCGAGUGGCUGUGGCGCGCGCUGAGCGCGAGCGCGGACGGCGUGCUCGUGCCCGCGCUCCCGGGCAAGACGCUGAGCGCGCCGCUGAGCGACGACCCGGGGAGCGUCGCGAUCGAGCGCCGACGGCGAGAUCUUGGCGUGUUCGUCGCGCGGAUCGCGCGUCAUCCGCUCAUGCGCGCGAGCGACGACGUGCGGACGUUCCUGGAGGAGAAGGACCGCGGGGCGUGGAAGGAGAGGGUGCCGUGGCACGAGCGCGGGGUCACGUCCGACGCGAUCCGCGCGACGCAGGAAUUUUUCGGCGGCGCGGCAAACGCGCGAGCGUCGUCGUCGUCGUCGGCGUCGUCGUUCAUCGACGUCCCGAACGCGCCGAACGUCACGAACGACGGCAUCGUCGAGGACGCGCGCUUCGUCGAGAUCGGCGAGUACGUCGGCGAGCUGAAGCAGCGCGUCGACGCGCUGUUGGAGGCGACGACGGCGGUGACGAAGCACCACGCGGGCGCGGCGGCGGCGGCGACGGCGUUCGCGGCGGCGUGCGCCGACCUGGACGACGCGGAGUUACGCGCGUGCGCCAACUUCCGCGCGAUGGACGGCGCGUCCGCGACCGUCCCAAUUCGAUGGAGCGCCGCGAGCGCUCUAUUCGCGGCGAGAGCGGCGCCGUCGGACGCGUUGGCUGACGCCGUCGCCGACGCGUUUCGCGAGCCGCUUCGCGCCGCGUCGGCGUUGUGCGCGUCCGCGACGCACGCGCGCGAUCGACGGAGGCAGCUCGUGGACGCGUACAACAAGCUGUGCGCGGAGAUCAGCGCUAUCGACGCGAAGAUCGUGGCGCUCGGCGUGCCCGAGCUCGGGAGCCCGAAGCGAAUGGAGAGGGACGCGCUCGAGCUUCGCGCUUCGGACGCGAGGAUCGCGCGGACGCAUCUCGGGGGGAGGUACUCUCGCGCGGUACUCGUGAGCGACCGCGAGCUGUGUUGGUUCCACGGCGCGCUCGCCGCGAGCAUGGGGGACGCGCUGAAGGCGUACGUCGCGUCGCACGGCGCGGCGGCGGGGCGGGCGGCGCGCGCGUUGGCGGACGCGCGCGAGGGAUUGCGGGACGCGACGGCGGCGCCGCCCGACGCGUUUCUUCCGCCGCGAUGAUUGAUCAUGACGAUGAUUAGCGCGAGAUGCGCGCGUCGGCGGCGAUAUCAUAUUGGUCGGGCGUGUUCGUUGUAAAACCUAUCAUAUCAUAUGACGGCCGUCACUUUAACGGUAUUAUUAAGUACUCUACCUUCACUUAGCGCGCGCGCCGGGCUCGUCAGCUCAUGAGAAGCUCGACGUACUUCGCCACGCUCUCGUCGUCCAGCGGCACGACGUGCGCCCACUGCGGGUAGGCGAUGAAAAGUUCAUUCAUCGGUCAGUUGAAAGGGACCCACGCGAUCAAACGUUGAAACCGAGCGGUGGGUGAAACACGCGACUACACGCGCCUGGUGCUCGUGCGUCGCCGCGCCUAGCCCGAACGCCUCCGCGACUUUCCUCCCCUGCGCCGGCGGGUUCAUCUCGUCCUUCUUCCCUAUGACGUGCAGCGACCUCACGAGCGGCUCCGGCGGCGCCGCGACGACCGCGGCGACCGACUCCGGGACGGCCUCGUCCCACUCCCCCGCGGCUCGGAGCUCGACGGAUCUGAGCUUUUCCACGUCGGCGCCGCGCGCGGUUGGGAACGCCGCGCCGACGACGAGCGCGUAACGCGGGCGGUGCGCCCUCGACGGUCCGACACCGCGGCCGCACGCGAUCGCGGCGAGCAUCGCGCCCUGGGAGAAGCCCAUCAGCCCGUCGAACGGCCAAAGGUGGUCGAGCAUCGCGAGCGAGUCGUCCGCGCCGUCGAGCGAUUCCGCCUCGAACGUGCGCGUGUUCGGCGGGAGCGUCCACCACGCCCUGCCGCCGGAAUGGAGCUCGUGCGGACCGUCCACGAACGUCCAGUCCCACGUCUCCGAGGUCGCGGCGACGAGCGGGGCCAUGUACUUCUCGAACGACGCCGCGGUGCCGCCCUUGCCGUGCAGCGCGAUCAUCUUCCUCUUCUUCGAAGACGUCUUCUCUGCUUCAUCGGCGACGACGACGUCGGAAGGAUCUGGCGACGACGACGCGGACGCCAUCGCGACGACGGCGGACGCGCGCGAGCUGCGCGACGCGCUCGCGGCGGACCUCGAUCGCCGCGCGGUCGCGUUCGACGCGCGGGCGGGAACGAGCGCGGCGACGCCGAGGGACGCGGGCAUGGACGUGUGCGCGCGCGGCGACGCCUCGAACACCGGAAGGAAGUGCCUCGGAAGUGCCGACACUGACUCAGCGACUGGAGGGGAACAAAGAAUGACCGAAAACGGUUCACCACUCGCGAUGGCGCGCGCCUUCGCCCCGCUCGGGCGGCUGGACGAGAACGUCGUCGCCGGGCGAGAUGCGAACGCCGCGCCGAUGGCGCGUCUGAAGGAGAGCAGGAGAGCCGCCGCGGCGGCGGCGAGCGCGGCGUACGUCGCGACCGCGCGCGCGACGAGAUCGAAAUCUCAUUCGCGCGCGGGCUCGGGCUCCGGCGCGUCGUCGUCGUCGUCGUCGUCGUCGUCGUCGUCGUCCAUCUCCGCCGCGACGCCGGCGCCGCGGCCGCCGCCGAGCUCGGUGUUCAAGCCGCCGCCGCGCGGCGGGAUGCGAGCGUCGUCGGACCGACGCGGGGAAGCGAUCGCGGAGGAGGAAGAGGAGGACCUCGACGUGUACGACGACGAGCGCGGCGAACGGAGGAACGACGACGAGGAUGAUGCAGACGUUCCCCGGGAAGAGGAAGCCGACGCGGACGACGACGACGAGUGCGACGAAUAUUACGACGGCGACGAAUAUUACGACGACGAAGAGGAGGAGGACGUGCGGUUCCCCGGCGAACGCGACGCGUCGGCCUCGACGUCCGCGUCGUCGUCGUCGUCCGCGCCAUCCGCGCCGCGUCCUAUUGCCUCCGUCUCCGUCGUCGACAACGACCUGAACGCCGGGACGUACCGCGCGCCCGCGAUGCCUCCCUCGCUGCCACCCUCCGCGACCGUCCCCGUCGUCGAGUGCGCGCACAUCGUCGCCGCGGCGAUCAACGGCGAGCCGCUCGCGCCGUUCAUGCUCGUAAAGGGAGCGUCCGCGGCGGCGAUGGCGAGCGUCAGGCGCGUUCUCCUUCACGCUGGUUCCCAUACGACCGCGUCGGCGUGGUGAACGCCGAUCCUUAAGGACUUUUGCGGGCGCAUCUCUCCGCGCAUCACCCCUCGCUUUCAAUACCCGCCCUCGACGCCUUUCAACUCCGCUUCUGACGCCUUUCAACUCCUCCCCGACGUUCGCUCGUUCGGAACGACCCUCAGCGAGCUCGUGCGACGCGCCGUGACGGACGCGCGACGCGAAGGGCUCACCCUCGGCGCCGCGGAAGCGCGCGCGGCGCUGCGCGGAGGAGGGCGCGACGGGCGCGGCGGCGGGUUCGAGAAGACCGCGGCGUGCGCGGCGAGAGCCGCGGAGGAGCGCGCGAGAGUCGCGGAGGCGCGCGCGAAGGCGUCGGACGCGGCGAGGCGCGCCGCGGAGGACGACGCGAGCGCGUUGAAGAAGGCGCUGAAGAAGACGCAGGCGGCGCUGAAGGGCACAGGCGCGCAUGGACCCGGGGGGUCCGAGCGCGAGGCGAGGCUCAGGGCGCGCGCGGAGAGCGCCGCGAGCGAGGCGGCGGGUUUGCGCGCGGAGGUGAAGCGGCUGAGGCUCGUCGCUGAGGAGGGCGCGCGCGCGGAGGAGAAGCUCGGGGAGAAGAAAAGCGUGUUGGCGAGCGCGGAGGCGGAGUUGCGAGAGGCGAAGGACGCGGCGAGCGCGGCGCGGGAGGAGACGCGCGUUAUCCGCGAGCGGCUGACGCGCGAGCUCGAGGAAAGCGCGCGAUCGGACGCGGCGCGCGCGGACGCGGAGCGCGCGUGGUUCGCGCGAGAGAUGUCAGACGCGUCGACGCGGAUGCGAAACGACCUAAACGAUGUCGCCGCCGACGCGAAACGAAUCGUCGCCGACGCGCUCGACGGCGUCGCCGCGGCGCGACGAGCGGCGCGAGCGUCCAAGGCGCACGCGGACGCGCUCGCGACCGAGUGCGCGGCGCUCAGGGCGCGCGCGAAGCGCGCGACCGAGGACGCGGCGGCGCGCGACGCGGCGGCGCGCGACGCGGCGGCGGCGAGCGCGUCGGCCGAAUCGCAGCUCGCGACGGCGUUGAGAGACAAGACCAAGGCGGAAGACCGCGCCACGGACGCGGAGUACCGCUGCGCGGAGGCGCUGCGCGAGCGCGCGGAGGAGGCGGCGAUCGCGACGUCGCGCCUCGAGACGACGGAGGAGUUGAUCGAGGAGCGCGACGCCGCGACGGAACGCGCCGAGCGCGCGGAACGCGACGCGGCGGAGGCGAGGACGGCGUCGGACGUCGCCAAGGAAGAGAUGGCGAUGGCGUGGGGCGAGGCCGCCGCCGCGGAGAGGGCCGCGGAGAGGAACCUCUCGAGCGCGUACGACGCGUUCGGCGGCGAGCUGCGAGCGCUCAGGAGGCGGUACUUUGUCCGAGACGACGGCGACGACGACGACGACGACGACGACGGCGGCGACGACGGGCGGUACGCGACGACGCGGCCGCGGCUCGACCUCGAAGCGCUCGUCGCCGCGAUGAUCGCGUUCAAGGAAGCGUCCAGAAGGGACGAGGCGUUCGAUCGCGAGCUCGCGUCGUCGUCGUCGUCGUCCGGAAGCGCGAAGGAAGCCGCCGCGGCUCGGAGGGAGCUUCGGAGGAUCGAGGAGUGCGUGCUGGUGGCGCUCGCGGACGCCGCGGAGACGAAGGCUGUCGCGAAGGCUUCGGACGUCGUCGCGAAGACGAUCGUCUCCGUCGCGUCGAAGAAGAAGAGGGGCGGGGAUGAGGAGAGGGAGAAGGAGGCGCCCGCGCCGUGCGAGAGCCCGGUGAUCGUCGCGAGAGGAGGAGGGGGGAGGAAGAGUAGCGGCGGAGAAGGCGGCGACGCGGCGGGGCGGAAAAACGCGCUCACGGCGUCGGACGACGACGUCUUGUCGCUUCUGAACUGACGACGGCGACGACGACGACGCGUUAGAUUAGUGAAAAAAUCUUAUGCUUACAUACACGCAUACACGGAAACGAAAACUACAGGUUAUUAGACUACUCGUACACCCGCACCGAAAGCGCGGGGUUCGGCUUCUUCCUCCGGCUCCGGGGUCCGUCCGUCCGCGGGAAACGUUUUUAUUUCUUCGCGGCGGGCGCCGCCGUCGUCGCGGCCGUCGUCGCCGCACCUUGCGCCAACGGCACCCCCCACCCCCCGCCCCCUAACGCCGCGGCCAUCGCCGCGGGGUUCCACAGAUGCGGCGGCGGCAUGUUCGCCAUGUUAAACCCGUUCGACGUGAACAUCCCAAACGCCAUCUGCGGGUUCGGCCACGCCGCCGCCGCCGCCGGUCGCAUCGCCGCCGCCGCGGUCGCCGCCGCCGCCGCCGCCGCCGCCGCCGCCGUCGUCACUGACGUCCCCGCGCACUCGCCGCCGUCUCGUCCCUCGUUCGUAGGACCCGCCGCCGCGAUCGCCGGGAAUUGAGCCGCGGCGCCGCCGACGGCGACGGGCGCCGCGCCGCCGUCAAGGAGCAUCCUCACGCCGGCGACGGGCACGACGCCCGCGCUCUCGGGCUGGAACUCGCUGGGAGGCUCCACGCGCGCGCGCUCCCCGAACGCCGGGCACGCCACGCCCUUCUCCGCCGCGGCCGCGCGGACCUUCUCCCGCAACGCGUCGUUCUCCGCCGCGAGCGCCCUCGCGCGUCGCAACGCCUCCGCGACGUCGCCGCGCAGCGUCGCGUUCUCGCCCGUGAGCUCCUCCUCUCUCGCGCUGAGCUCGUCGUACUUCUCGUGCUUCCGUCGGAUCGUCUCUCUCGCGCUCUCGCGGUUCGCCUGCACGCGUUUCCGUCGCUUCGCCUCCAGGUCCUCCUCGGAUUCUUCUUUUUUGUUCGGUCCGCGGCCGCGCUUCUUUCCAGGGUUCUCGGCGACGACGGAGGACCCCGGGGCGCCCGCCGACGACGGCGCGGCGCCGGACGCGGCGCCGCGAGACGCCGCCGUCGCGAUGUUGGAUCCCUUCCUGCCGCUCUGAGCGACGAACCCGUUCGCGGCGGUUUCGGCGGCGGCGGCGGCGGCGGCUGCCGCGGCGUUACUUUUCGAAGCCGCGAUCUUGUCGCUCCGGCGCUGCUUCUGCGCGCUGCGCCUCUCGAGCUGCACGCCCGCGUCCGCGAGCGUGAGCAGAGACGUGAAGCCGACGCUGUCGCCCGUGAUCGCCGCGGAGGGGUGUUGCUCAUUCGCGCCGGGAAUUCCCGCGUCGUUCGCGCCGGAUCCGCCGCGCGCGUUCGCCGUCGUCGACGGCCCGCGCGCCGCCUUGGGUCUCGGAUCCGCCUCGGACGUGGUGCGCGUCUGCUUCCGGCCCCACUGCAACGCGCUGGACGGCUUCUUCUCCUCCGCGGCGCGAGGACGCGCGGUCGCGGCGUCGCCGUCGUUCGUCGCGGCGGCGGCGCCGCGCGCGGUGCGCGUCUUCUUCUUCGCCGGAGGAGGAGGCGCCAUCGCCGACGGUCGUCGGUUAGCGCGCGCGCGAAAAAGCGUGCUCAAAAGCGUCGACGCGCAAACAGAAGAAUUCUGACGCGUCCUCGGAUUCGACGCGUCGCGCGCGCGGGUCUCUCGCCCUGACCUCCCGCGAUGCGAUGCCGCGCGUUCGCGCGUCGCCUAUAUUAGACGCGACCUGCGAUCGAUAUCGACGGCGUGGCGCGCGUGCGGCCGCGCGUUCGAGGCAAAUGUGCAUUAGAUCGUGAUGAGAUAUUUACGCACUUUUUUUCAGUUCAAAAUGCACAGCUGUCACCGGGGUCAAGGUUCGCGGUCAGUUGAAAGGCGUCGAAGACUUGAAACCGACGAGCUGGGUGAACAUUUCGCGGCCACUUGUCACGCGCGCGCGCUGCGCUGCUGACAGGGACGAGCCGCGAUCGUCGCGUCGGUCCCGUCGCCAGAUGCGUCGCCGCGUCGUCGCGCUCGAGCCGAGCGCGGCGUACGAGGCGCCGCUCCUGCGCGACGCCUUCGCGAGCCGCGGAUGGGAGAUCGUGGACGACGCGUCGCGCGCGUCUCUGCACUGGGCGAAAGCGCGCGACGUGCGAUGGGACCGCGUCCUCGGCGGGGGCGGCAACGACGACGCCGCGACGUGCGUCGCGAACCGACUCGUGCUGAAGACCGCGCUGACGAGGAAGGCGGACCUCGCGACGCUGGUGCGACGCCACGCCGAGCGCGUCGGGCUCGACGCGUCGCCGGUCGCGGCGGCGACGCCGGAGACGCACGUCAUCGACGGCGACGACGACAGCGACGGCGACGACGAGGAGGCGAACGAGAAUGAUGAUGAGAACGUCGGCACCGAGAAGAGACGACGACUGCCGCGAUGGCUCCUCUCCGACGCCGACGCCGACGCCGCGCGCCGCCGCCGCCGCUGGGUCUUGAAAGCGUCCGAGAGCGACCGCGGCGAGCGCAUCGCGUUCUUCGACGCGUCCGUCCCCGCGGACGUCGCGCGCGCGGAGGCGCUGAUGGCGUCGUGCCCGCGCGACGCGUCGUGGGUACUCCAGAGGCACGUCGAGCGUCCGAUGCUCGUCGACGGCGCGCGCAAGUGCCACCUCCGCGUCAUGAUCCUCGUGAGCGGCGACGCGCGCGUGUUCGUGCACGAGAACGUCGUCGCGCUGUGCUCGGACCGCGCGUGGGACGCGACGGACAUGCGCGACGUCGCCGCGCACGCGACGAACCACAGGGUGCAGGUGAAGGCUCGGCGACGCGUUGGCCGCGGGGCGGUCGAGGACGAGGAUCCGAGAUCGCGAGAACUCCUCGGAGACGACGACGCCAACGCGCUGACGCUGACCGAGAUGUGCGAGCGCGUGGAGAUCGACGACGACGACGGCGGCGUUCACGAGAACAAGAAGAGCGAGAACGUCGCGGGGUCCUCCUCCUCCUCCUCCCGGGAUCUCGAAACGCACAUCAGAGGGCAGUUACGCGCGAUCGUCCGCGACCUCUUCCUCGCGGCGCGCGACAAAAAAACCGUCGCGCCCGUCGGCUUCUUCCCUACCCACGGCACGUUCGAGCUCCUCGGCGCGGACUUCCUCGUCGACGCGCGCGGGAAGGUCUGGCUGCUGGAAGUGAACGGCGAUCCGUGCCUCGCGGUGUAUGGCGAGCGGUUGCGGCCGAAGUGCGCGGAGGUGUUGCGCGACGUCGUCGACGUCGUCGCGCCGCUCGCGGAGGACGGCGAACGCGCGGAACACGAGAGGCGGUUAGCGUAUGAUCACGCCGCGGAAGAAGAAGAAGAAUAUGGAACGUCAACCGGCGCAGUGGGAACACACGGAGGGUUCGCGCUCGUCCUGAGCCUCCCGCCGCGGUUCCCGAACGACGCGAGCGAGGGGCGACGACGCGUCGCGAAGCUCUUGUCGACGAUGAGCGCGUUCGUCGGAAAAGGCAAAGAAACUUUCGCGAGGAGAAGCGCGUGCAUCGCGCGAGGGUCGCCGGGCGCGUCCGGCGCGGCGAGCGCGUUAGCCGCCGCUGAUUGGGAGCUCACGGACGAUCUCCGGUCGCAGACGACGUCGAUGCAGUGGGCGACGCACGAGGACGUGUCGUGGGAACGAGUUUUGGACGGGGAGGGGACGACGACGACGACGACGACGACGACGACGACGCGCGCGAGGCGCAGGCUCGUCGCGAGCCAUUACUACGCUCGGGGCGUCCUCCUGUGCGCGUCGAGACUCUCGAACGCGCUGAUCUCGAACGGCGUGCUCGGCGUCGUCCCGGUGUCGGCGACGCUGACGCGCGGCGGGAUAGAGGCUGCCGGAGGCGCGGACGCGGCGGCGGCGGCGUUGCGACGCGCCGGCGGCGGCGGCGGCGGCGACUGCGCGUGGGACGUCGAGGAGGACGCGACGACGUCGUCGACGACGAUAAAGACGAAGACGAAGACGACGACGCGUCACCGCUGCGCGUCCGCGGAGGUGGCCGCGUCGCGCGUGCUCCACGGCGACGCUCGCGCGUGGAGGGUUCGGCAGCUCGUCGGCGACGGCGGCGGCGGCGACGGCGGCGACGGCAACGCGUCGUCGUCGUCGUUCGACGCGCGCGUCGUCGCGUUGCUCCUCGGGUCCGCCCCGCGCGUGUGCGUCCACCGUCGCGUGGAGAUUCGACGCGCCGACGUGCCCGAGGGCGCGUGGACGUCGUUAGACGACGACGACGGCGACGGUUCGAUGGACGAACGGUCGCGACGCGAGGCGCGCGACGCCGUGAACGCGGCGGUGGUCGCGACGGUGCGCGGGGUCGUCGGCGGCGGCGUCGGAGGGACGGCGACGGCGACGGAAACCAAACUCCGCCGCCGCUUCCUGCCGUUUCGUAACUGCUUCGAGGCGUUCGUCGUGCGUGUCGUCGUCGCACGGCGCGGGGGAGGAGGUGACGAUUCACCGGACGAACCGUCGCGGCGAGGGUACCGCGCGUGGGUGCUCGGUUUCGAGGACGCGUUCAAGAGCGAAUUCGGCGGCGGCGGCGGCGCGGCGGACGCGCUCGCCGCGGACGUCGUCUCGGAGGCGGUCCGGUUCUUUUGGGGCGAGGGCGAGGAGCGGAUGGGUGGCGACGCGCCGUUCGAGGUCGCGCACGCCGGCGAGUUCGCGUCGCUCGACGGAUAGACUAGACUAGCUCGUCUACUGACUGCGCCGCGGGGGGCGAACGACGAACGUCGUUCAUCGACUCCGUUUGAUCGGUUCGUUCGCGAUGAAACGCCGUCGAUCGCGCGCGUUUGACCCGUUGACCGCGCGCGACGUAGAGUAGGCACUCAAAUCAGCUUCGACGAUCUCCGCCCGCCGUCCGCCUCGAGAGAUCUCGAAAUAAAAUACCGGCCCUCCGCGAACGCCGCGCGACGCCGGAGCGGUCGUCACUGGGCGCGGCGCGACACCGCGACGAGCGCGACCUCGGACGGUUUCGCUUCCACGCGCGGAGGAGAUCGCGCGCACGCGGUCGGCGUAACAUCAGAACCCUCGAGCGCGUCGCGGCGACCGCGGCGGCGGGAGAGGUCGGCGAACAAAACCUUUCCACCCGGCGCGGAGGAGAAGCGAGGAAUCUCUUUCGGAAGUCGAGCUACUAGACGCGCGCGAUGGCGCUCCGGACCGCGUCCGAGCUGCUCGACGCGCUCGACGCCGGCGCGAUGCCCGCGGGCGAUCGCGACGACGGCGGCGACGACGGCGAACUCGGCGGGGUCAUCUUCAUAUGCAGGUGCGAGCGCGUUUACGGCGUUCGCGGCGGCCGCGCUUUUCUCGCGCCUCGCUCAGAUGCGGCGGCGAAAGAAGAAGGGCGGGCGACGCGACGAUGAUGGAUCGCGGACCGAGGCGUCCGUCCGCGCGCCGCCCUCCGCGCGGAGCCUCGCCUCGCCGCGCGCGCGCGCCCUCCCUCCCUCCCGCUCCCUCUCCCCGUCGUCGUCCCAUCCCUCUAGCAAGCAGCGCGCUGACCGACCCCCUCGCCCCGAUGCCCCAUCCUCAUCGCGCCUCUCCUUCUCCCUCUCCUUCCGCAGCCGCGAGACGUACGACGACACCACGCGCGCUGGGCUCUUCGGCCUGACGCAGGGCAGCUGGUCGUUCGUGAAGCGCAUCACCCCGGGGAUGCCGCUGUUCCUCUAUAACCUCACCGAGCGGCGCUUCCACGGCGUCUUCGAGGCGGUGCGUGCGCGCGCGUCGUCCCCGAAAACGUCGUCUCGCGCGACGCGAUCGCGCCGGCGUCGUCCUGCUUCGUCGGCGCGAAAAAUUUCGGAUAAGAUCGACCGAUCGACCGCUCCCGGCGGAGAAACGCCGACGACGCGUCGUCUCGCCGCGCGUCGUCUCCGCCCGCCGCGAGCCGCGCGCCGCAUCCCGAAAACAUCCCUCCCCGCUAUCACGUCCGUCGACCCCUCCCAACUGACCUCCCGUCCUCCGUCCCGCGCGCCCCACCCGCAGACCUCCGACGGCGCGAUGAACGCCGACCCGACCGCGUGGAAAACCUCGGGCGCGGGCGCGGGCGACGCCGCCGGUAUCGACGGCAGCCCCUACCCGGCGCAGGUGCGGUACAAGCACACGCGCGUGACGUGUUCCGCGUCCGCGGCGUCGUGCAAGCCGUUCUUGCGGUUCGCCGCGGGGGAAGCGAACGGGAAGAAGUUCCGGUUGGAUCUCACGCCGGGCGAGGCGACGCGUCUCGCGCGCGUGUUCCACGCCGGCGGCGACGCGGGCGGCGGGGCGAAGAAGGGGCUAAACGGGAAGAGCGGCGGGGGGCAUCAUCAGACCAACGGCCGCGCGGCGACGCCGACGCACGAUGUGGUGGACGGGUGGGAGACGGUCUCGUCGAAGAAGACGACGAAGAAGGGCGGCGGCGGCGGAUCAGGCGGCGGGUCGUCGCCGACGACGCGAAGGAACAACAACAACAACGGCGCCGCCGCCGACGGGAAGGACAAGAUCGCGCGCGGCGGCAAGGCUGCCGCAGGCGAGAGUUACCACCACCACCACAUCCACGCGAGCUCGAGCGCGCUCGGCGACGCCGCCGACCGCGCGAGCCCGCCGCCGCCGCCGCCGCCGCCCGGCCCGCCGAGGGCGCCGUCGGGGUGGGCCGCGAUUCUCACCGGGCAGACGAACAGCGCNNNNNNNNNNNNNNNNNNNNNNNNNNNNNNNNNNNNNNNNNNNNNNNNNNNNNNNNNNNNNNNNNNNNNNNNNNNNNNNNNNNNNNNNNNNNNNNNNNNNAGGUGUGCGACCCGCAACAGCCGGGUCACAACGCGGGGGGCGGGUGCUUCGGGGUCAUGGGCGUGCAGCAGAGCUUCAGGGAGCAGCUCGCGCUGCUCGCGAACGCGCCCGCGGAAUCGAGCCUGUUGCUCGCGCUGUUGAACUCGCCGGGGAGGAUAUGCGUCGUGUGACGACGCGGACGGAUCUCGGAUGGCGACGGAUCGACGGAUGGCGCGGCGGAGCGGGGAGAGAGAUGGCACGGCCAACUUACGAUGUUUACGUUACGCACGUUUUAAUACCAUGCCACCGCAUGCGACAGACGAACGCGCCGCCGCCGACGACGCGCGUCCUGUCCUGGGCCGUUUUUAUCUGAUGAUCGUGGUAAAUCUAGUCUCAACAUCUGAUCUCAUCAACACCAGUUUAGGGUUUAGG